UGAAAUUUGAAAAAAAUAGGCAGGACAGGAGUUUUGAGUUAAAAAAAAAAAGGCAGGAUGAGCAACUUGGUAAAAAAAAAAAAAGGCAGGAUGACAAUUUGUGUAAAAAAAAGUCAGGAUAAAUUAGUAAAAAAAAGGCAGGACUGAAUAGAGUAAAAAAUAAAAAGGCAGGACAGAGAUUACAACUAAAAAAAAAAGCAGGACAAAAUUUUUCAUCCUAGCCCCCCCAUAAAAAUCAAAUGGUAGCUCCCUAACUUAAAUAUUUGUUAAAAAAAAAGAAACGGAAAUACCGUAACGUUUCCGAUUUUGGUUCUGUUGUUAGGGAUUUUAGUUGUGACGUUAUUUAAAUUAUGACGUCAUAUGCAAUGUAAACAAAGAAACACUAUCAUCAGGUAACGUUUUUUCAUAUCAAGGAAUUAUUAGAAAUGAAAUUGGUGUUGCGCGUUCCUUCCUAUUUUAUACUAGACUGAUAAAUAUAUAUUUUACUCAAAGUUUCAUACAAACGAGACCGGAAAAAGGAAGUACAUUGUACAUUUCUGCGCCGGUCCGGGAUUUCAAAACACGACAAAAAAAAUUUGAACGAUUUUGAGUUCAUUAGUAUACAAUGAAAAAUUCGGGAAAUUUUCCCGUAUUUUUUUUUUUAUUGAAUUUUCUACUGUUAUUGGGGACUCCGUCCCCAUAU
RNAcentral lists this long non-coding RNA (682 nucleotides) under Mytilus galloprovincialis (Mediterranean mussel). The record is from RNAcentral. Lineage: Eukaryota; Metazoa; Mollusca; Bivalvia; Mytilida; Mytilidae.